GCCUACAAAGUAGGGGAAUGGUGUGACGUUCGUCACACCAUGUGUGACGCCCGUCACAGGGGUGUGUUGCGUGACGCUCGUCACGCCUUCUGUGACGCCCGUCACAAGGCUGUGUUGCGUGACGCUCGUCACGCCCUCUGUGACGUCCGUCACAGGCACAACAUUUGUGUCUUGCGCUUUGGGCUGGGCUUUGCUGUUUGGUUCGUUUUAU
This 211-nucleotide long non-coding RNA is filed under the name Lathyrus oleraceus (garden pea). RNAcentral describes it as "Pisum sativum (pea) long non-coding RNA (PSAT_LNC016433)". Lineage: Eukaryota; Viridiplantae; Streptophyta; Magnoliopsida; Fabales; Fabaceae. The record is from RNAcentral.